UGGUCUGAAAAAAAGUAACAAAACAAC
This 27-nucleotide non-coding RNA is filed under the name Cricetulus griseus (Chinese hamster). The record is from RNAcentral. Lineage: Eukaryota; Metazoa; Chordata; Mammalia; Rodentia; Cricetidae.